CAAAAAGUUCAUUUGGGUUUUUCUGUAACAUCUUAUGGAAAAACCCGAAUGAACUUUUUGGCCAACC
RNAcentral lists this microRNA precursor (67 nucleotides) under Tursiops truncatus (common bottlenose dolphin). RNAcentral describes it as "miRNA (ENSTTRG00000024387.1)". Lineage: Eukaryota; Metazoa; Chordata; Mammalia; Artiodactyla; Delphinidae. The record is from RNAcentral.